CAGCAGCCGCGGUAAUACGAAGGUCCCGAGCGUUGUUCGGAAUCACUGGGCGUAAAGGGAGCGUAGGCGGCGUGGUAAGUCAGAUGUGAAAUCCCGGGGCUCAACCCCGGAACUGCAUCCGAUACUGCCGUGCUAGAGGAUUGGAGAGGUAGCUGGAAUUCUUGGUGUAGCAGUGAAAUGCGUGGAGAUCAAGAGGAACACUCGUGGCGAAAGCGAGCUACUGGACAAUAUCUGACGCUGAGGCUCGAAGGCCAGGGUAGCGAAAGGGAUUAGAUACCCGCGUAGUCCCUGUCUCUUAUAC
Molecule: ribosomal RNA, 301 nt
Filed under: uncultured bacterium
Lineage: Bacteria
Description: partial 16S ribosomal RNA
Rfam family: Bacterial small subunit ribosomal RNA
Source: RNAcentral